RNA transcript from Rosa rugosa (rugosa rose), 1608 nucleotides. It is a transcript of the gene named probable serine/threonine-protein kinase SIS8, with no coding region annotated. The record is from RefSeq and is a predicted model, not a curated record. The transcript is spliced from 8 exons. NCBI's taxonomy places the organism in Eukaryota, Viridiplantae, Streptophyta, Magnoliopsida, Rosales, Rosaceae.
AAAUUAAACAUUUCGGCAAAGCUUUUUAGGUUUUUGGGUUCAUAAACAUUGUUCUUGUUCCCGCUCCCUCCAUCUGCUAUUUCCCGCUCACUCCAUCCAGUCCCGACAAUGAAGUCAACCAUAGCAAUCCGCGAAGUCGACAUCUGCUAGUUCAGCUCCACCUCCUUCCUAUUUUUCUUCCUCUUUCUACAUAUUCAAUCUGUCCCUCAGACCCUAAUACCCAGAAAUCAAUCAGAACUGUCCGUCUCUCGCUUUGUGGCCUGCAUCUUGUCGAUCUCCACUGUCAAAACAGAGAUUGUUCACUGUUGAAGAAUUGGCUUUGUACAAUGGGACUGAUCAAAGUUUGCCAAUCUUGUUAUGUAACUUUGGUUUGCAUUGGAAUAUUUGGAUAUAUAAUCUAGAUGAUGCUGAUAUUUGCAGAGAUUGUUCACUGUUGAAGAAUUGGCUUUGUACAAUGGGACUGAUCAAAGUUUGCCAAUCUUGUUGGUUUUUGAUGUGACGAAAGGAAAGUCUCAUUACGGUGAGGGUGGGGGUUAUUAUCAUUUUUCUAAAAGGUACUAGCUGAUAAGAUAAAUCUUCCAUGUAUGCUGGUCAAAGGUAGCUACUACACAAGUACUGAUGAUGGAGCUGUAAACUUGAUUAAAAUUGAUAGUGGAAUUGGAAGUGAAUAUAUUAUUGAUCUGAUGGGUGCUCCUGGAACACUAAUUCAUGCUGAGAUGUGGUUCAUGAUGUGUCUUAGCAUAUGGAAGAGCUUUUUGGUCUCUAAUGCCUCUUGAUCAAGGUGGAAUAUAUGCCCCAAUUGAGCUUUCAUCUUCUUUGUCAUUCUUGUCAGUUCAUGUCACUAUAUUUGAACAGCUAGCAUUUAUCUUGCUUAUAGUACAACUGGUGUAUGUACGAUGCCUUUUAUAUUUCUCUAUUGUACUUAUGUAAUCUCUCAUGUCAUAUACCUUACUUGUCAGAUUGUCAAACUAGCUAGUUAAUUAAGUGCUUAAUCUAAAGAUUGUCUGAUUAUGUAUAUUCCAAGUUUGAGAACAUAUCUUUUUUCUUGUCUGGACAUUAUUCCACCAUGUUAAAAGAAAAACCUUAGUUAUGACUCUUCAGUAUUUCUUGAUGUUUUUGAUUUUGAUGAAGAGACUUUGCCAAUUUGGUUUUUCCAUACAUAUGACUUUGCCUGAAUUAUUUUUUAUUGUUUUUGGUUACAGGUUCUUUGCAUUAUAAUCUCGUUGUUUGAUCUGUGUCAUUUGUCUUCCUCUUAUCAUAAGCUCUGUCUACUGGUUUUGAUUCCAGGUUCAAGAUGCAACCAGUGGCCAUGAAAUUAAAAGGGAGUCCAUAGGAGAAGGAGUUCAUCCACAUUCAACUAGUGAUCAAGAAAUUGAGCAUGCUCCAGUACUCACCAAGCCCCUCUAGUUAAUGAUAAAUAGUAUUGUGGUCAAGGAUGCUUUUGAACAAUAUUAAGUUUGGCAACUUUUCCUUUCAGUUAUCUAGUAUGGUAGGACAUUAUAAUUAUGAAAGACUGUAGUUUGGUUAAUUUCAGUUUGUACUUGGUAGUGGAAUAUAACUUGGCACUUAUCUUUUGAUUAUAUAAUUUAAGUUGUGAGAUAGCUAUAA